GACGAACGCUGGCGGCGUGCUUAACACAUGCAAGUCGAACGGAAAGACCCUGCUUUUGUGGGGUGCUCGAGUGGCGAAGGGGGGAGUAACACGUGAAUAACCUGCCCUUGACUUUGGGAUAACUUCAGGAAAGUGGGGCUAAUAUCGGAUAGGAGCUCAUGCUGCAUGGUGGGGGUUGGAACGUUUCGGCGGGUGGGGAUGGAUGAGCGGCUUAUCAGCUUGUUGGUGGGGUAGUGGCUUACCCAGGCUUUGAACGGUAGCCGGCCUGAGAGGGGGACCGGCCACAUUGGGACUACGAUACGCCCCAGACUCCUACGGGAGGCAGCAGUGGGGAAUAUUGCACAAUGGGCGGAAGCCUGAUGCAGCAACGCCGCGGUCGGGAUGACGGCCUGCGGGUUGUAAACCGCUUUCGCCUGUGACGAAGCGUGAGUGACGGUAAUGGGUAAAGAAGCACCGGCUAACUACGUG
This 468-nucleotide ribosomal RNA is filed under the name uncultured bacterium. RNAcentral's name for it is "partial 16S ribosomal RNA". It matches the Rfam family "Bacterial small subunit ribosomal RNA", at positions 28 to 507 of the family's 1533-position model. The record is from RNAcentral.